This is a non-coding RNA of Pongo abelii (Sumatran orangutan), 122 nucleotides long. NCBI's taxonomy places the organism in Eukaryota, Metazoa, Chordata, Mammalia, Primates, Hominidae. The record is from Rfam.
AAUCCUAUGAUUUAGGUCCUCUGAGUCUGAAAAAAAUAUGUGUUCACUCAAUACUCAAAGGGACUUGAGAAAUGUUCUUCCCUGAACUAUACCUGGAAUACCUUGUGAUUUGGAGAAUUCAG